GCUCGCUCACACCCGGAUCCUUCGUCGCGGGGAGGGUGUUUCCGCCCGGCCGCGGUGGGCGUGACGCAACGUCCAGCGCGCGCUUUUCAUGCCUUGGUGUUUCCUUUGGCGGAGUUUCUGUUUUCAGAAGAUGUUGGGUUUGUUUUAUUCAGCGGCAGUGGUGCUUCCCCGAAUCUCAGAAUGCCUGUUAAAAGAUCACUGAAAUUGGAUGAUCUGUUAGAAGAAAAUUCAUUUGAUCCUUCAAAAAUCACAAGGAAGAAAGGUUUUAUAACUUAUUCUCCAACAACUGGAACUUGUCAAAUGAGUCUGUUUGCUUCUCCCACAAGCUCUGAAGAACAAAAGCACAGAAAUGGACUAUCAAAUGAAAAGAGAAAAAAAUUGAAUCCCCCCAGUUUAACUGAAAGCAAAGAAUCGACAACAAAAGACAAUGAUGAAUUGAUGAUGUUGCUAUCUAAAGUUGAGAAAUUGUCAGAAGAAAUCAUGGCGAUAAUGCAAAAUUUAAGUAGUAUACGGGCUUUGGAGGGCAGUAGAGAGCUUGAAAAUCUCAUUGGAAUCUCCUGUGCAUCACGUUUCUUAAAAAAAGAAAUGCAGAAAACCAAAGAACUAAUGACAAAAGUAAUUAAACAAAAACUGUUUGAAAGGAGUUCAGGACUUCCUCACAAACAUACUUCAAUUUUAAAAGCACUGAGGUUUGAAGUUUAGACAUGACGACUUUUAGGAGAAACAACAGAAAUUCCCCCUAUGCUUUAACAUUCUGGAUUUAUCUGGAGAUAAAAAAUGGAGCCAUUAAUUUUGAUAGCACAAAUAUACAUUAAUGUACAACUAUAGUCCUCAGCUCUUUAUAAUGAUUCAGCUAUCAUGUAUGCCAUAUGUGAGUCAUAACCUUUCCUAUUAAUAAUGUUAAUGCUCUUGUUUUACACGAUUUGUCUUUGUUUUGGGGUAUGCAUUUCACCUGCUAAAAAUGCAUACUUGAGAUUUGUCUAGGAUUUAAGUAAAAAUAAACAGGUUUAUUACUUUUCAUAGCCUUUUAAAUAACUUCUUUCAUGAUUUAAAUUUUUUAUACUUUAACAGAAGUAUGAUAAUUUUUCUUUCAAAUAAAAUCAGUAGAAAAAAUUUUAAACUAUAGAUUUGGACUCACUUAAUAGCAAUUAGGUGUUUAAAAGGUGUAAAUAACUUGCUAUCAGACAUUACAAAUAUCCAGGUGCUCUGUAUGUGCUGAUGACAACAAAAUUGAAAAGAAAGACUAUAAUAAUUCUGACUGGUUUUCUCUGCAGAAGAUAUUGAUUAUUUGUGUGUGGUGAGAGAUUUGGAAAAUUCAAUUAAAGGAGUUGUGCAAAGGUUUCAUAAAUUUUCCUUCUACAGCGUGUACACAGACAUUGUUGCGUAUUAAAUCAAUGCAGCACUUCACAAUAUAUUUUCUUUGAAACAUAAAAAUAAAUAACAUUUAAACAGUUCUGCUUACUACAGAAACAAAUUUUAUUUUCUGUGAAGCAUUUAGUCAUGUGCUAUCACUGACUCAUACACAUUUGCCAGCUGUAACAAAUUUUAUAGACAUUUUCCCCAGAGACAUAUCUCACAUACUAUGAAUUUUUAAAUGAGCAAAUGGUGAAGAAGGGAUGUCAGCAAUAUAAAAAUUGAUCAGUUAAAAGAUAAAAGCAUAAGUAAAGAGAUUUGUAUGGUAGUCUUAAUAGGUUUUAUUAAAUAAAAAUACUAUAAAAAGACAGUAAUGAAUAGACUGAAGACUGUUCUUGAAGUGGAGAAAAAUUAUUCUGGCACAUUUAGUAGAAAUUGGUUUUGUGUCACCUGACAGGUGAACUUUUUUUCCCAUUUUCAACUCUCAGAGUAGUCCAAAACGCUCCACAAAAAAAGAGUUAGAUAAAUUAUCUAAGUGGUUUACAUAUUUGAAACACAAUAAAGCAAAUGUUUAUAGUAUUAUAUAACUAGUUAUAUAGUUAAAAGCAGGACUUAGUAAUUAUUAUAUAUUAGGUGAUUUUUCCUCCAGCUCAGACCUCAGAUGCAAGGAGCGUAGUUAUUUUUAUUCAUACUAUUCACAGCAAGUGCUUCAGCCCUCUGGAACCUCUCUUUCAGGACUCCAGAACACUUUGCUACCUUUCCCUCUACCUAGAUUGCUUUUUUCUCUGUCUAGCAAACUCCUACUCGUCCUUUAAGGUCAGCCUCAGAUGUCACAACCUCUGUGAAGCUCUCCCCAGCUCUCCUAGAAUCAUGUCAUCUUGACAGCUAUGAAUUCCUUAAAGCCAUUUUAAACUGAGGCAUUAAGAAGAAAUGCACUCACCAUGAGCACCAACUUUUGCAUCUGCCUGAUCAUAUUUAAAGGAACAGAGAAAUAUUUGUAAUUAAUCUGCCCAGUAAAUACCAGCUCGUAGCAGUCAGCAGGUGCAUGUCUAGAUAAAAUUUCUUGCAGCUAAUUUAAACUUUCUACACACACCAGUAGAUAAUCUCAAUGUAAAUAAUACAUUUCUUCUUGACUCUUUAAUGUGAGCCAGCAUGGAGAGGAAGAUCUUGACUUAUAUUCUGUACCACAUACACUUCUGUGGACUUUUAGCAUUCAUGGGUAGACUUAAUAAAGCAUGUAUAAAAGUGGCA
RNA transcript from Cercocebus atys (sooty mangabey), 2604 nucleotides. It is a transcript of the gene named integrin beta 3 binding protein (beta3-endonexin), with no coding region annotated. The record is from RefSeq and is a predicted model, not a curated record. NCBI's taxonomy places the organism in Eukaryota, Metazoa, Chordata, Mammalia, Primates, Cercopithecidae. The transcript is spliced from 10 exons.